RNAcentral lists this ribosomal RNA (486 nucleotides) under uncultured bacterium. RNAcentral's name for it is "partial 16S ribosomal RNA". It matches the Rfam family "Bacterial small subunit ribosomal RNA", at positions 899 to 1397 of the family's 1533-position model. The record is from RNAcentral.
ACUCAAAUGAAUUGACGGGGCUCUGCACAAGCGGUGGAGCAUGUGGUUUAAUUCGACGCUACGCGAAGAACCUUACCAAGGUUUGACAUCCUAGGAAUCUCCAAGAAACUGGGGAGUGCCUUCGGGAACCUAGAGACAGGUGUUGCAUGGCCGUCGUCAGCUCGUGUCGUGAGAUGUUGGGUUAAGUCCCGCAACGAGCGCAACCCUUGCCGUGUGUUGAAUUUUUCACACGGGACUGCCCGGGCCAACCGGGAGGAAGGCGGGGAUGAUGUCAGGUCAGCAUGGCCCUUACACCUUGGGCUACACACGUGCUACAAUGGCCGGUACAACAGGUUUGCCAAACAGCAAUGUGGAGCUAAUCCCAUAAAAACCGGUCCCAGUUCGGAUAGGAGGCUGCAACUCGCCUUCUUGAAGCCGGAAUCGCUAGUAACCGUGGGUCAGCAUACCGCGGUGAAUACGUUCCCAGAGCUUGUACACACCGCCCGU